This 414-nucleotide ribosomal RNA is filed under the name uncultured microorganism. RNAcentral describes it as "bacterial SSU rRNA". It matches the Rfam family "Bacterial small subunit ribosomal RNA", at positions 9 to 420 of the family's 1533-position model. The record is from RNAcentral.
GAGUUUGAUCGUGGCUCAGAUUGAACGCUGGCGGCAUGCCUUACACAUGCAAGUCGAACGGCAGCAUGAUCUAGCUUGCUAGAUUGAUGGCGAGUAGCGAACGGGUGAGUAAUACAUCGGAACGUGCCCUGUAGUGGGGGAUAACUAGUCGAAAGAUUAGCUAAUACCGCAUACGACCUGAGGGUGAAAGUGGGGGACCGCAAGGCCUCAUGCUAUAGGAGCGGCCGAUGUCUGAUUAGCUAGUUGGUGGGGUAAAGGCCCACCAAGGCGACGAUCAGUAGCUGGUCUGAGAGGACGAUCAGCCACACUGGGACUGAGACACGGCCCAGACUCCUACGGGAGGCAGCAGUGGGGAAUUUGGACAAUGGGCGAAAGCCUGAUCCAGCAAUGCCGCGUGUGUGAAGAAGGCCUCGG